RNAcentral lists this ribosomal RNA (301 nucleotides) under uncultured bacterium. RNAcentral describes it as "partial 16S ribosomal RNA". It matches the Rfam family "Bacterial small subunit ribosomal RNA", at positions 509 to 807 of the family's 1533-position model. The record is from RNAcentral.
CAGUAGCCGCGGUAAUACGGAGGGAGCUAGCGUUGUUCGGAAUUACUGGGCGUAAAGCGCGCGUAGGCGGUUACUCAAGUCAGAGGUGAAAGCCCGGGGCUCAACCCCGGAACUGCCUUUGAAACUAGGUGACUAGAAUCUUGGAGAGGUCAGUGGAAUUCCGAGUGUAGAGGUGAAAUUCGUAGAUAUUUGGAAGAACACCAGUGGCGAAGGCGACUGACUGGACAAGUAUUGACGCUGAGGUGCGAAAGCGUGGGGAGCAAACAGGAUUAGAUACCCCAGUAGUCCCUGUCUCUUAUAC